GGAAUAUGAUGAACAAGCGAAAGCCGCUAACUUCCGACUUUAACGGUUAAACUCCGUUUAUAUUCCU
This 67-nucleotide transfer RNA is filed under the name Tarragoilus diuturnus. Its description in RNAcentral is "tRNA-Ser". Lineage: Eukaryota; Metazoa; Arthropoda; Insecta; Orthoptera; Prophalangopsidae. The record is from RNAcentral.